This 61-nucleotide transfer RNA is filed under the name Candidatus Azambacteria bacterium RIFCSPLOWO2_01_FULL_37_9. Its description in RNAcentral is "tRNA-Arg". It matches the Rfam family "tRNA", at positions 1 to 58 of the family's 71-position model. From Rfam's summary of the family: Transfer RNA (tRNA) molecules are approximately 80 nucleotides in length. Their secondary structure includes four short double-helical elements and three loops (D, anti-codon, and T loops). Lineage: Bacteria; Candidatus Azamiibacteriota. The record is from RNAcentral.
GCGCCCAUAGCUCAAUUGGAUAGAGCGCUUGGCUUCGGACCAAGAGGUUGUGGGUUCAACU